AAAAGUUGUCGGUGGGUUCUGGGAGUCGUAGUUUAAUAAUAUCUGGAGGCCACGGCUUGCCCACCCCAGAUAUAUAUUGUGCAACUUUAUUUCCCAUUGUGUAUGUGUUACUUUGUGCCAGUGAUUAAGUGCUAGGGAGUGAUGAUUACCCCGGAUUAUCCGUGACAGGCAGCUUGUGAUACAAUACAGCAGCAGAGUGAGUUUAUGGUGCUCCUUAUAUACCUCUUAUACAAUAGCCAAGGCAGACAUUUAUUUCAUGAAGGCACUUGCUGCUAAGGAAGAAGAUGUAAGGAAAGGAUGGGAGCUCCUGCUGGGCUUUGGGGGCUGGGAAAGAUCCAACAACAUGACAGCCUCAGAUUAUUGGAAAUGUCUUUCAGCUAAACUGUCAUAUUUCCAACUUUAUCGUGUGGCUCCCGUGAGAGAGAAGGUAGAGACUGCAAGCUGGCUGCAAGCGGCUGCUGCACUUUCCAUGAGGGUGCCACGAGCCCAGCAUGCCUCUGCCCUUCUGCCCACCGAGUCCCUGGCACCGGGCUUUCCAUCUCCUUCCCUCAGAAAGCACUAAUUGCUCUGCUCCCUUCCUCCACACACCUUCACUAAUUUUCCAUUUCUUAUUCUGCGGGUAGAGGGGAAGACGUCUGAAGGAAUACGGCACAUUCUCUUAGCUACAGCAUGAAUAGAGUGAGACAUGUCCAUCAAGUCAUCUGUAAGGGUCGUUUGGUAAAUUAGCAGCUGUGCCGUAUAAUCAGGUAUCCGCCACUGAGGCCAAUGUGCAGCCCCGCUUAACCAGGGCUCAGUUCUGGAAGACAGAAUUACUCCAGGUCACAAUGGUCGUGAAUAUUUACUUUUAGUUUCAUAAAUUGUCCUAAA
This is a long non-coding RNA of Xenopus tropicalis (tropical clawed frog), 867 nucleotides long. RefSeq lists it as uncharacterized. The record is from RefSeq and is a predicted model, not a curated record. The transcript has 2 exons. NCBI's taxonomy places the organism in Eukaryota, Metazoa, Chordata, Amphibia, Anura, Pipidae.